Long non-coding RNA from Lytechinus pictus (painted urchin), 3857 nucleotides. RefSeq lists it as uncharacterized. The transcript is spliced from 4 exons. Lineage: Eukaryota; Metazoa; Echinodermata; Echinoidea; Temnopleuroida; Toxopneustidae. The record is from RefSeq and is a predicted model, not a curated record.
CAAAUAGCAAUGGCAAGAUGAUAUGUUUGGACGUAAACGACAAGCUGUCAUAAGGAAACGAAUAACGGAUUUAAUUCGACUCCCGUCAGCCAAUGACCAUGACUGAUGCAUCACAACAAUUCUGCCUUGGAUUUUAUUUAUAUUUAUUUCUAGUAAGGGACACUUUUUGGACACCUCCGCAGUUGAUAUCUUUCUCUUUCUGAGUUUCUUCACAAAGCCAGCCAGCAGACUGCAUUUGCACUAUCACCAUGGAUACAGCAUACAAACCACGUGACUUCCCACCAUCCUUUCUAACGACGCCAUCAUGACAACAGUCACGUGACUUGAAAAAGAGGGAUCCUUGUCUGCCUUCAUUCAAUGAUGCACUCAAUAGAUGUGACAGGUGUGGAAGAGAAAUAAAUCAGGGUGCUAGCCCCUUCCCCAUGCAACCCCAAGGAAAAAAUGAAAAGCUAGUUUAAAGUAGACUUACUUAAUUUUGCCACUGUGAUUUCUGGUCAUACUGAAGGCCUAUUUUGUAGAAAUUGGUGCAUGAGAAACAUGCCUUCCCCUCGUCACGGAUUUUUUUUUUCAUUUCAUCUGAUGGAGAAAAAAAAUGCGCACACCAACGACGGUAGAGGGCAUCAACACCUUGCAAAUCUGAUUGCAAAGUGCUGACGCCCUCUACGUUCGUUGGCUGGCUCAUUAUGAUUGCUCGCAUCGGUGAUUUUGAAAUCUGUUUAAUAAUCUUCUGGUUGAAAAUUUCCUGAAUGAAUACAGACAUUGAUCUCCUCAUAAACCAUCGCAUCGGACACUCUCUCAACGCCUGAUUAAAAAAAAAGUGAAAACCACAGUGGUGAACUUCGCCCUCUGCGUUUACAACGUCCACUCCAAAAAUCGCGUUCCAUCCAACGUCAAAACAAUAUCGAUAAUCAUUGGAAUAUGACUAAAGAUGAAUCAAAUAUUUUCAUAGAUGGUAAAACAAGUUUUUUUUAAGUUAUAUGAGACAAUUCGUCUUAGGCAAGUUAAAAUCCGAAAAUGAUAACGUGGAUACAAGUAAUUGAGAGAGUGAGAUAUUAUGAUUGCAUAACAAAUUAUAAUAUUUUACCUUGUUAGACAAAGCUAAUAGAUCAAUCUCAUAUAAUAAUCAAUCUUUGUUCGUAGUGAGCCUAACAAUUGUAAAAAUGUACACUAUGAAUAUAUUUUGCUAGCUACGUCUUAUGUUUCCAGUCCAGAAGAGGGUGAAUGUCAUUUUCAUUUUCUCCCUUGAUUAAAUACCUGAUUUGAUCAAUGAAACCAUUAUGAUAUAACAUAAUCUAAUGCCAUAAUGUAUAUGCAGCGGUAGUAAAUAGUAAUUGGUUUCCUUCUUACUCUCGGCUGUUAUUUUAAAGAAUAUUUCUAAAAGAGAGUGAGAAUACCUUUUCAGAACUAUGUGCAACUCUUUAUUACAAUGUAUUACAUUCAGAGAAAGUGGGGCAUAUACCUUCUCUAUGUUUAAUAUGAAAUCUUAAAAGUGGUUAGGUAAACGUAUAAUAUGAAUAAAAGUACUAAAUCAUCGGUUUAACUUAGGAAUGAAUUUUUAUUAUAUAAGGUUGAAUUGCAAUUUCAUUUUUAAAAUUUGGUUAAAAUAUGAAUGAAAGUAUAGAUUUCUUAUGGAAAUAUCAGUUGCUAUGCUAAGGAUAACAAGUAUGAAUGUACAGUAUGAAAAUAUGAAUUUUUCCAUUUUGUAAAUUAUUCAUCAAUUAUCAUCAUAUCUUGCUUCAUGUGGUUGUUCAUAGUUUUAGAACGUAGGGUCCACUGGCAGGCAUUCCACACGCGUUUAGUAGGGACAUGACUAUAGCUUAUGACGUCACGCUUGGCAUUGAACGUGUGUAAUACCACCUAGCCAUACUUUCUUCAUCUAGAACUUAACCAAAUUAAUUGUUAAUUAUGAUGAUAAUGAUGAUGAUGAUGAUGAUGAUGAUGAUGAUGCUCAUGAUGAUGAUGAUGAUGACGGUGAUGAUGAUGAUAAUGAUGAUGACGAUGAUGAUGAUAAUGAUUAUGAGAAAAUGAAGAUACAGGUGAUGAUUGAAUUUAAAAGAAUUGUGUUAUUAUAUAAGGAUGGUUUUAAAUGUUGAUGCUGCUAAUUUUGACGAUUAUGUUAUGUAAGGUAAAUUAGUAUCAGUAAAAUAGACAAGCCUGUAUUCAAAUAAUGAAACUAAAGUAUUCAAAUCCCUCACUUUGAUCCAGUCCAAUAUUGUUUAGAAUCACAUUGCCUUUAUUCUAAAUGUUGCAACCCCCACCCUCCCCCCCCCCCCCCCCCCAUAGUUCGUUUAUCAUGGUCGCUUUCAAUAGACACACAAUCAGGGCCAACGGUUUGCUGUAUGCCAAGUAAUGAUCAAUCCAUGCAGUCAAAAAAAUAUAGAAAUGACGUUCUGAUUAUCGCUUGUCACUUUACUUGUCUAGCGCUAAAAUAUCAAUUUCUGAAACAUCCACACUUUUACUUGUAGGGCAUAUGUAUAUUUUGUUAUGUAUAAUCUUUCCUGUCAAAUAUCAGAUAGAAAGAAUGAUGCACUCGUCUUCGAUCUGUGCAACAUUUGAUAACUCCUAUAGCUACUCAUUUAUAUCGUGUAAAUCGGAACCCCACAAAGGGUUUUCACAAACGGUUGCUUAUGUUGCAUAUAAUGGCUUAUUUAGGCAAAUAAUGUUUUAUUUGUUUGUUUGUUUGCGUACUUUAUUUUUUCACCUUCAAAUGUCUUUGGAGAUAUCUGUGUCUAAAUAUAACUACUUGACAAAAUAAUGAAGAUCGUGAUUUUUAAAAAGUAAAUUUUGAUAAGCCAAGUAUACCAAUACGCAGCACUCGACAAAAACGCAUGCCAUAUGCAUAGAUGUUUUUUUCUUUGUUUCUGAAAAGUUCGUUUAUACAACACCAACUAUUGUUAAAACAGCAUCGAUUUAAUUUCAAGCCGGUGUUGUUUCAACACCUCUCUGGUGUGGUCAUAUAUAUAGAUUCUGGACUGAUGUUAAAUUAACACCGCAGUUUUUGCAGUGUAUGUCUUAAGGGGUUAUACUUUAUUAUAAUGUAUUUUGGCUCUGUUAUACAUAUAAACACAAAAUAUGACUUUUUUGUAAAAUUGUGACGAAUGCACUAUCCUCACACGAAAUUUCAUCAAUGUUAUUUCUUACAUCAAUUUAGUCUCAUUCUAUUUUGGGAUUGCUCAUAAUCACAAAUGUUUUGGGGUAAUUUUUUUCAGUGACCUCGCAGUUUUCAGGUGCACUUUUCUUUUCAUUGAAAUGAGAUUGAACAAUAUAGUGCACACUAGAAUUUGCAAAUGAGGAAAUAGAUCUUACAUUUUUAAGUGCCCCCCCCCCCCUCCCCCUGCGUUCGGCCAUAAAUAAGACCUUCAUCAUCAUUUUAUGACGCAUUUCAAAAUAUGUUCAAUAUUGACUGUAAUAGCAAUUUAAGAUUAUUUUUAAAGAUAACGCAUUUUUUUAUGUUUCGAUUAUCAUGCCAUUUCCAGGAGAAUAUAUACAUUGUGUUUUCAAUUUCCUAGCUGCUCAGAUUAGGUAAAGUUUGGCAAAUCUGACUAUAAAAGUUCGAAUUAUCUUAAUUUUAUAGUAGGCCUCAACUACAGUUGUCUAAUAAAUUUCAUUUGUUUUGUCACGUAUUUUUAUAAUCUAUAUUCCGAUCCCAUGAAUUCAGGCUAGUGCAAUUCCCUGUCCGUUUUUUUUUUCUUUUCUCGUAAAAAAGAGGAUUCUUGUACAUGAUGUAAAUAAAAUUACAGAUGAAUAUUAACUCCGCUUUGUAUCCUAUUGCAAGUGUGGUAUAGCUUUUUUCCGUCAUAGAAUUUUUUCUCAUGUUUCUGCAAAAAUAAAUUAUUUAUAUAUCCUUGUCAGCAGUA